Molecule: ribosomal RNA, 473 nt
Filed under: uncultured bacterium
Lineage: Bacteria
Description: partial 16S ribosomal RNA
Rfam family: Bacterial small subunit ribosomal RNA
Source: RNAcentral
GAUGAACGCUAGCGGCAGGCCUAAUACAUGCAAGUCGAACGGGUGGUCGCAAGACCACUAGUGGCGCACGGGUGCGUAACGCGUAACCAACCUGCCCCGAUCUGGGGGAUAGCCCGCCGAAAGGCGGAUUAAUACCGCAUAUACCCGCAGCCUGGCAUCAGGCAACGGGGAAAGAUUUAUUGGAUCGGGAUGGGGUUGCGUGACAUUAGCUAGUUGGCGGGGUAAGGGCCCACCAAGGCGACGAUGUCUAGGGGACCUGAGAGGGUGAUCCCCCACACUGGCACUGAGAUACGGGCCAGACUCCUACGGGAGGCAGCAGUAGGGAAUAUUGGGCAAUGGGCGAGAGCCUGACCCAGCCAUGCCGCGUGCCGGAUGAAGGCCUUCUGGGUUGUAAACGGCUUUUCUCAGGGAAGAAAAAGACCUUGCGAGGUACACUGACGGUACCUGAGGAAUAAGCACCGACUAACUCCGUG